GGGGAGUCUCAGUCCACUUGGUUGACUAGUACUUAGUCAAGCUAAAGUAACUAACAGCCACCUCUUCUGGGGGAAGAAUGUGUUUUUAAAAUUUGUUUAAUUAGGAUCAAAGCUUGAGGUUGAUUAUCAUGAAACUCUUGGGAUGAAUGUCAGGGAACGGUAACCAGAUGGGACGAUCAGAGGGGAGGAGAGAAAGCCUUGUUCUCUGUGCCACUGACAGACACUGUUACUGACUAUCCUCCCCUUCUCUGGAGGGAGGGCUUCCAGGUGCAGGUCUCCUGUGUGCUUCUGAGAAGAUGCGCUCAGCUACCAGCAGGGCUCUGUGACUGGCCGAGAGGCGGCAGUGGAGGAAGAAGAUGACAGCUGCUUGGCUGAAACUCAGGAGGAGAUGAUGUCUGUUUUAAGCGACCUCAAACCCUUGUGGCCAAAAGGCAACAUCUAAACUCUUUUUCUCUCGUCUUCAUCAUAGGAGCAAUCUCUGGUACAUGCACGUUAACCAAAACUCCAGGUGCAGUUCAAGGAAUCUUCCUAUUUUAAAAAAUGAGGGAAGAUGACAACUGACACAAAUUUCUUGGCUCCUGGCACAAAAAUUCAGUACUUUAAAGACUCCUUUCUGUGAAGGUGACACAAGGGGUGGCCUAGGCACUGCCUCAUGGCUUGUUUCCCUGCCAGUUCAGCUAGCCCUACAACAAGGGGAUAUUCGUAUGAGCUGACAUGUGCUGAUUGGCAAACUCAUGUCCUGGCCCAUGACCAUAAAACAAUAUUAACAAAUCUACACUGAACGAAACACACGGUCAACAGAGAGUUUUGUGGGUCUUCCCUGUGUGAGCAUCUGCACGUGGGUGGAGGAGCUGGGCAGAGGCUCCAGGAGGGCCAGGCCAGGCCGGGGCUGCUUGGCUCUCCUGCCUACCCAGCACCGUCUCAGAGGACAUGAGGACUGCAGGCUUGAUCUGAGGGAGGAGACAUCCCCUACUGGACGGACCUGAAGUUUAAAAGGGGAAGAAGGCACGGAAGUGAGGAAGAGAAUGCACACAAGAACCAAGCCGUUGUUUCUUCAAGAGAGAUCACUGAAGGCAGCCAGAAGUGAAGACUGGAAAGGCUGAGGGAAGGCUGAUUCUUGGUGGAAUGGUGGUUGUCUUCCUGGUAACCAGAGCUGGAUCUGGGAGAGCUGCGGCACGCUGUUCAAUGUGUUAGUUUGCGCCUGCUGCAUGACAAACCACCUCGGAAGUCCAUGGCAUACAAGCAGCAGCAUACGUUAUCACGCUCACAGUCGUACAGACCAGCUGGGGCACCUGUGCAUCAGGCUGCGGAAGGCUGGGGUGUGCUCUGCUCUACUUUCCUUUAUUCUUCUGGGACCUGUGAGCUAACUUGGGCAUGUUCUUCUCAUGGGAGUGGCAGAAAUGAAAGAGGGGUGAGCAGAAACUCAGUGAGCAGCUCAGAACUGGUACCCCGUCACCUCCACCCACAUUCCAUCGGCCAAAGCAAUUCCAUGGCCAAGCCCAAUAACAGUAGACUGUGGACAUAUUCUCCACCUUGCAUGGAAGGAACUGCUGAGUCACUUGGCAACGUGUAUGGAUUCAGGGAGGAGUCGAUGGGGACAAUGAUAGAACUGCUACUCCAGUUUGGGCACUUUCUAUUGAAUCCUGGUAGCCAUGGAAGACUGCAUCUCUUGAGUUGCUACUGAUAGGAAGGAAAGACUGGCUGAUGUCUCUUAAUGAUAGUAUGGAAAUCCUUUUGAAAGUUUAGUUUAGAAACUAAGUUUCAUAAUGACCAGGACAAUGUACGUCUAGUUCACCUCCUGUGUUCAGUAAACACUUCUUGAUCCAAUGAUUAAAUGGUGAAAGAAUAUUAUAUGUGUAGCUACGUAUCUGUAAAUAGAUAUAGGGUAAAAAAGUGGAAUUUAUCUACCCAUAUAGAAUGUGAGUAAAGAGUUUAAUAACAAAAAU
RNAcentral lists this long non-coding RNA (1946 nucleotides) under Equus caballus (horse). RNAcentral's name for it is "lncRNA (ENSECAG00000057467.1)". Lineage: Eukaryota; Metazoa; Chordata; Mammalia; Perissodactyla; Equidae. The record is from RNAcentral.